CUUCAGUCCGGGACAACUUUCCGAAAGGGGAGCUAAUACCGGAUAACAAUGUUUGACAUAAGUUGAAUAUUUGAAAGCUCCGGUGCUGAUGGAUGAGUCUGCGUCCCAUUAGCUUGUUGGUGCGGUAGUGGCGCACCAAGGCCGCGAUGGGUAGCGGGUUUGAGAGGACGAUCCGCCACACUGGAACUGAGACACGGUCCAGACUCCUACGGGAGGCAGCAGUGGGGAAUAUUGCACAAUGGAGGAAACUCUGAUGCAGCAAUGCCGCGUGAGUGAAGAAGGCCCUUGGGUCGUAAAGCUCUUUUAUGGGGGAAGAUGAUGACGGUACCCCAAGAAUAAGCACCGGCUAACUACGUGCCAGCAGCCGCGGUAAUACGUAGGGUGCAAGCGUUGUUCGGAAUUACUGGGCGUAAAGGGCGCGCAGGCGGAGGUGCAAGUCGGAGGUGAAAGCCCGGGGCUCAACCCCGGAGGGUCUUUCGAAACUGCAUCUCUAGAGAGGG
This 500-nucleotide ribosomal RNA is filed under the name uncultured delta proteobacterium. RNAcentral's name for it is "bacterial SSU rRNA". It matches the Rfam family "Bacterial small subunit ribosomal RNA", at positions 131 to 650 of the family's 1533-position model. The record is from RNAcentral. Lineage: Bacteria; Deltaproteobacteria.